ACCUGGGUGGCUUAGUCGGUUAAGCGUCUGACUUCGGCUCAGGUCAUGAUCUCGCGGUUUGUGAGUUCGAGCCCCGCAUCAGGCU
Molecule: transfer RNA, 85 nt
Filed under: Felis catus (domestic cat)
Lineage: Eukaryota; Metazoa; Chordata; Mammalia; Carnivora; Felidae
Also listed under: 1 other name
Rfam family: tRNA
About the family: Transfer RNA (tRNA) molecules are approximately 80 nucleotides in length. Their secondary structure includes four short double-helical elements and three loops (D, anti-codon, and T loops).
Source: Rfam by way of RNAcentral